Molecule: ribosomal RNA, 374 nt
Filed under: uncultured bacterium
Lineage: Bacteria
Description: bacterial SSU rRNA
Rfam family: Bacterial small subunit ribosomal RNA
Source: RNAcentral
GACGAACGCUGGCGGCGUGCUUAACACAUGCAAGUCGAGCGGUAAGGCCCUUUCGGGGGUACACGAGCGGCGAACGGGUGAGUAACACGUGGGUGACCUGCCCUCAGCUCUGGGAUAAGCCCGGGAAACUGGGUCUAAUACCGGAUAUGACUCCAUGACGCAUGUUGUGGGGUGGAAAGCCUUGUGCGGCUGAGGAUGGGCCCGCGGCCUAUCAGCUUGUUGGUGGGGUGAUGGCCACCAAGGCGACGACGGGUAGCCGGCCUGAGAGGGCGACCGGCCACACUGGGACUGAGAUACGGCCCAGACUCCUACGGGAGGCAGCAGUGGGGAAUCUUGCGCAAUGGGCGAAAGCCUGACGCAGCGACGCCGCGUGA